CAGCAGCCGCGGUAAUACGAAGGGUGUAAGCGUUAAUCGGAAUUACUGGGCGUAAAGCGUGCGUAGGCGGUUUGUUAAGUCUGCUGUGAAAUCCCCGGGCUCAACCUGGGAAUGGCAGUGGAUACUGGCAAGCUAGAGUGUGUCAGAGGAUGGUGGAAUUCCCGGUGUAGCGGUGAAAUGCGUAGAGAUCGGGAGGAACAUCAGUGGCGAAGGCGGCCAUCUGGGACAACACUGACGCUGAGGCUCGAAAGCGUGGGGAGCAAACAGGAUUAGAUACCCCUGUAGUCCCUGUCUCUUAUAC
RNAcentral lists this ribosomal RNA (301 nucleotides) under uncultured bacterium. Its description in RNAcentral is "partial 16S ribosomal RNA". It matches the Rfam family "Bacterial small subunit ribosomal RNA", at positions 509 to 807 of the family's 1533-position model. The record is from RNAcentral.